RNAcentral lists this ribosomal RNA (442 nucleotides) under uncultured bacterium. RNAcentral describes it as "bacterial SSU rRNA". It matches the Rfam family "Bacterial small subunit ribosomal RNA", at positions 354 to 796 of the family's 1533-position model. The record is from RNAcentral.
GUGGGGAAUCUUGCGCAAUGGCCGAAAGGCUGACGCAGCGACGCCGCGUGUGGGAGGAAGCCCUUCGGGGUGUAAACCACUGUUGCCCGGGACGAACGGCGGGGAAUGCCCCGCGUGACGGUACCGGGUGAGGAAGCACCGGCUAACUCCGUGCCAGCAGCCGCGGUAAUACGGAGGGUGCGAGCGUUGUCCGGAAUCACUGGGCGUAAAGGGCGCGUAGGCGGCUUCUCAAGCGUGUGGUGAAAGUCCGGGGCUCAACCCCGGAUCGGCCGUGCGGACUGGGGAGCUCGAGUUCUGUAGAGGCGGGUGGAAUUCCGGGUGUAGCGGUGGAAUGCGUAGAGAUCCGGAAGAACACCGGUGGCGAAGGCGGCCCGCUGGGCAGAGACUGACGCUGAGGCGCGACAGCGUGGGGAGCAAACAGGAUUAGAAACCCCUGUAGUCC